UGUAGUGGAAAGUUACCUUCAUAUGGCCCUCUCUCUACAUCCAACAUCUAAUGGGAUAAAAGCCUGCUAACACAGCACGUAAAGACAGAUUUAGUUUUGGCCACUGCACUCCAGACUCCUAGAGGAGUGUGACCAAAUGCCCAUCAACCAGGUGGACGUGGCACAGAAUCUCUUCCAGGUACUUCUGGCCGUUCCCAGAAGUAAUCUACUGAAGACUUAUGAGCAAAAGUCAUCUUCAGCAAGAGCACCCACCGCUCGCCUCUUCCUGGGUGUCGGGUGUUUGUCAGGACAUCUUUCACCAGAAUCCUGACCCCAGCUCAUGAACUCCUUAACUUCAACUGAUGCUGUCAUGUACAGAAUUCUAAGACUAUAAAUUUCUCAGGUUUCUUUGCUACUACUACGUAUGGUUACAGGAUUCAGUUCUGGCCAAUAACAUCACUUCCAGCGCACCUACCAAAAAUGAGAAGUGGGCGGACAGUGUUAAAUGCAUUCAGAAAAGAAAAUCAGAAGAUGUGAAGGUAUUCUGAAAACCAGAAAAGCACUAUACAAGGUGGCCAUCAACAAGAAGUAAAAAAUAUAAA
Molecule: long non-coding RNA, 581 nt
Organism: Neofelis nebulosa (Clouded leopard)
Lineage: Eukaryota; Metazoa; Chordata; Mammalia; Carnivora; Felidae
Exons: 5
Source: RefSeq, a predicted model, not a curated record